RNAcentral lists this long non-coding RNA (860 nucleotides) under Numida meleagris (helmeted guineafowl). RNAcentral describes it as "lncRNA (ENSNMEG00000018845.1)". The record is from RNAcentral. Lineage: Eukaryota; Metazoa; Chordata; Aves; Galliformes; Numididae.
UUUAGCCACUCAGUUUAUCAAAAACUAUAGAAUAGGUGAAACAAUGUUUCAUUUGGUGAAAGAAUAUAAUGAUUUUUACAAAAGUAAAGAGACUCUGGAGGAGAGAGAAGUACCUUGAAAAGAAGGGUCAAAGUAAUACAUUUUAAAUUACUUCGACCAUUUUUAUUUCUACUGGCUUUUAACCCUUAGCUGUACCUAUCUGCUGAAUUUAACUUGAGCUUGCGAGUACAAAUACUGGAUUUUAAACUUGUAUUUCUUGGUAGUAGAUUUUAUAGUCAUAUGGAGAGUGUUGUCUAGCAGUUACCAGCGUAACAGUGCUCACAGCACCUCCAGAAAUAUGUACUGAAACUUACUCUGCGUUUGAGCCAUCUGCAUUGCUGCAAGAAGAGGAGACCCACAUGCUGACUUCUUCCCCACCCUUUUAUUGUGAAUGUUUCAGUCCCGUCAUGAAUGCUAUGUGGCUGUGCUGUGAACUGGAUCUGGGCGUCAACACAAUGGGCAGGCCUGUUCUUUUGUCCAGUUGUUUCCUGUUACAAGCAGCCUUGCAGGAAAGCAGAGUAUCCCUGUCUUGGCCUGGCAGUGAGAGUGCUUGCAGAACUGGUAGCUGUUUCCUGUUGAUCGUGCUUUUCAGAAUCAGUUCCUACAUGUCUUCAACUGUGCGCUGUCUUUAUCUUGCAAUGAAGAGAGCUGAACAAUUGAUUUCAGAAAGCCAUUGCUGUUGUCUUUUGACUCUUCAGAAAUGUCUUCACAAGAGACAUUAUCAUUCAAGCAUUUGAUAGAGGUCUGAUCUCUGCUUAUGGACUACUGAUGCAUAACACAAGUGAUACGUAAUAAAACACAAAAGAUGAAUUUUCUGCUCA